RNAcentral lists this unclassified non-coding RNA (160 nucleotides) under uncultured Collophora. RNAcentral's name for it is "sequence contains ITS1". The record is from RNAcentral. Lineage: Eukaryota; Fungi; Ascomycota; Leotiomycetes.
AAGAGAACUUGCCCUUCGGGGUAGAUCUCCCACCCUUUGUUUACAUACCUUUGUUGCUUUGGCAGGCCCGCCCUCGGGCCACCGGCCUCGGCUGGUCAGUGUCUGCCAGAGAACCCAAAACUCAUAUUAUCAAUGUCGUCUGAGUACUAUAUAAUAGUUA